GAAACAGAAUCAAGUGGAUAUGGAGAGAGAGAAAAAGAUUUAUCUUAAGUCAUUGGCUCACACAACUGUAUAAACCUGGUGAAUCUAAAAUCUGACUGGGGAGGCCAACAGACUGAGGACUGACUCAGGAAAAAGUUGAACUUCAAGUCUGAAGACAGUCUGCUGGUGAGCCAGGAAAAGCCAAUGUUGCAGAUGAAGUUGGAAAGCAGUCUGCUGGCAGAACUUCCUCUUGCUCAUGGGAGGGUUUAUCUAAGUGUCACCCCCUUCAAAGCUGAAAAAUACACAGGAACAUCAUCAACGGUGCUUAGUACUUCUCAUGUGGCCCCAUGAUCAUCAUGUUUGAGAUACUUCUGCAAGAAGCUCCAAACAGUGAACUACUGAGAGAACACUUGUGGGAAUAUUUGCAGAGACAAACAAAUGUCAUCUUAAAAUACCAGCUACUGUAACUUACCCACAACAAGUAGGCUUCUUGGUCUGUAUUAACCCUGUAGGUACUAUUGUUGAAAUAGGCAUCUCCCCUACUCAGGAAUGUGGGCAAAUCUGAUCAUGCCUCUUUAAGGUUCUAAUUUGACAGAAGCACGUGAAUAAGCAAUCAUUUAGAAGAGUAUAUGCCUCCAAAUCAGAGCAAUACAAAUAAGAGCAGGGAAAGCUAUUUCACUUCACUGCUCAUUUCCCAAGUAUCCAAGUAAAACACUUCCUUAAAGUGUCACAUGCAUUAAAACACAAAGGAGAAAAACAGGCAGAGGUAAGCAAAGUUUAAAUCUGUAAAUCUGUUCUUUAAGACUCCAAUUAAUAAAAACUCAGGGAUUCUACUUGGAAUAUCCUACCCAUAACAUCAUAAUGUCAAUAAUCCAACAGUCAAGAGCCCCAGAAUCAGGGUCUAGAAUGCCAGAUGAAGAAUAGAGAGGAAUCCCCGUGAAUCCUGGGGUUUUGUAUAAUGGCAAACACUAAGAAGUAAGAUAGAAAGAGUGAAAUCCUAUUGACACUGUUGAGUCUGGACACCAUCCUAAAAAUGUCCUGUUUCACUAAUUGGAAGGGCAUCCAAGUAAGGAGAAGCUUGAUGCCAUAUGACAACAUCAGGUACUCAGCUCAUUUCUCUCUCUCUUUCUCUCUCUUUUCCUUUACGUCACCAAGGACAAACUCAGGAUGUUGACAGGACAGACUUUUGUAGGCAAACGGUUUGGCCAAUCUCUCACCAGUAUAUUAACCACAUGGGCAAAGAAAAUAUUUUUUCAAAAUGGAUGUUUUUGCUUUAGGGUGGAGGGAUAUGAUAUUUUUCUUUCUAUCUUAAUUUCCUUCCAUGUUUAUGUUUAAAAUUACUUAGUAAGUAAAAGUAAUGGUUAUGUUAGAUAAAAUUCAUUCACCACCCUUAAUAUGACUCAGUGACUCAAAGACAAAGUUCCAGAGCAAAGGGUCAAUCUUGUGAGAGAGGUCAUGCAGAAUUUACAAAACAAAAUUUAUACAGAACACUCAGAAGUAUAAAAAAGAUGAAGUUCAUUAUUGUUUAUAAUUACUCACUUACUCUGAAGCUACCUUUCCUCCUGCUGGCAGAGAAAAAUUCAAAUUAAUUAAAUUAAUUUUAAUUAAGGG
This 1590-nucleotide long non-coding RNA is filed under the name Homo sapiens (human). RNAcentral describes it as "HSALNT0391247". Lineage: Eukaryota; Metazoa; Chordata; Mammalia; Primates; Hominidae. The record is from RNAcentral.